Molecule: ribosomal RNA, 508 nt
Filed under: uncultured bacterium
Lineage: Bacteria
Description: partial 16S ribosomal RNA
Rfam family: Bacterial small subunit ribosomal RNA
Source: RNAcentral
AUUGAACGCUGGCGGCAUGCCUUACACAUGCAAGUCGAACGGCAGCGGGGGAGAAGCUUGCUUUUCCUGCCGGCGAGUGGCGAACGGGUGAGUAAUACAUCGGAACGUGCCCUGUAGUGGGGGAUAACUAGUCGAAAGAUUAGCUAAUACCGCAUACGACCUGAGGGUGAAAGUGGGGGACCGCAAGGCCUCAUGCUAUAGGAGCGGCCGAUGUCUGAUUAGCUAGUUGGUGGGGUAAAGGCCUACCAAGGCGACGAUCAGUAGCUGGUCUGAGAGGACGAUCAGCCACACUGGGACUGAGACACGGCCCAGACUCCUACGGGAGGCAGCAGUGGGGAAUUUUGGACAAUGGGCGAAAGCCUGAUCCAGCAAUGCCGCGUGUGUGAAGAAGGCCUUCUGGUUGUAAAGCACUUUUGUCCGGAAAGAAAUGGCUCUGGUUAAUACCUGGGGUCGAUGACGGUACCGGAAGAAUAGGGACCGGCUAACUACGUGCCAGCCGCCGCGGUAA